GUGCCGAUCGGGUACUGCCUGUAGUCUAACCGUUGUUCGUGACCGCCGAUAGGGGCGAUAGCGCCACCGCGAUUGUAUCGAAACAGACACAUCACGUCCGUUCAUAGUGUUGACAGCAGUCGUGUGUGUGUUGGGGAUACGCUUCCCGAAGUCGUCGCUCAGCCAUGACGAUGCUGCCGCUGCUCCCGAGGGACAUCCACGUGCCAGAGCACGCCCUGGCGCGCCGCGGCGCCAUCUGCUUCUUCCGGGAGGUGGCCAAGGUCCGUCCCCACCAGCAGAGACGCGGGGGAAUCUCCGUAGAACGAACGGACCAAAAUGCCAUCUUCAUCCGUAUGGUCGGUAAGUGAACGAUUAUUUAUAAAUAGCGUACAAACAUAAUCUUAUGACACGGUUGUGCCCUAAAAACAAUAAUAAUGUGCUUCGGACCACCUCUGAAAUUUUUGAAAAUUUUGUGAUUUGUAAAGAAAGCUCCAUAUGAAGUUUAGUAUGAAAAAACUGAGUAUCUACCACUGUAUAUUUGAAAGUGUCUUGGCUUGGCACUAUUAUACUCAUUUUAUAUACUCCAACGCUUUCACAGUUUUGUGUGGAAAACAUUGUGUG
Schistocerca americana (American grasshopper) is the source of this 600-nucleotide long non-coding RNA. RefSeq lists it as uncharacterized. The transcript has 3 exons. NCBI's taxonomy places the organism in Eukaryota, Metazoa, Arthropoda, Insecta, Orthoptera, Acrididae. The record is from RefSeq and is a predicted model, not a curated record.